Long non-coding RNA from Ruditapes philippinarum (Manila clam), 629 nucleotides. RefSeq lists it as uncharacterized. Lineage: Eukaryota; Metazoa; Mollusca; Bivalvia; Venerida; Veneridae. The record is from RefSeq and is a predicted model, not a curated record. The transcript is spliced from 3 exons.
UAGUGCUGAUGUUUAAAGUUGAAGACAGUAUAUAAUUCAUCAAGAACAGUGGAAUCCAGAAUUAAGCCUCAAAUGUGACUGAUUUACUAUAGAACAAAGAACACGAAAAUUCACCAGGCCGUCACCAAGAGGAGAAAUUUGAAAAAUGGGAACUGGUUAAUGGAUAUGGAUGAAACUUUGCAUCAGUGUUGUGUUUAUGCAUAGAAAUCAGGAAAAUAAAGGAAAACUGACAGACCAUGCAGUUACCAAAGCCGGGUUUUGAGUACAGGACCUUACCUUAUACUGGUUAAGAUCUAUGGAAGAACUCUUUCAGCUCAGUUUGGCAACAGAUUUGUCAGGACAAGUUGAGAAGGAACUCAUUUGUUGGCGGAAGGAUUAAAGAUGUACCACCCACCAGCAGUCAGGAGUUUUCAAAGUGGUGAAUUUAAACUGUGUUACAACAGAGUGAAGAUUUCUGAAAAAAAGUAGAUGGCUAACCUAUUAUAUUUUGGGCCUCAUUUGACUUAAAUAGUGCUGAUGUUUAAAGUUGAAGACAGUAAAUAAUUCAUCAAGAACAGUGGAAUCCAGAAUUAAGCCUCAAAUGUGACUGAUUUACUAUAGAACAAAGAACACGAAAAUUCACAAGGCCG